RNAcentral lists this ribosomal RNA (495 nucleotides) under uncultured bacterium. RNAcentral describes it as "partial 16S ribosomal RNA". It matches the Rfam family "Bacterial small subunit ribosomal RNA", at positions 28 to 507 of the family's 1533-position model. The record is from RNAcentral.
GAUGAACGCUGGCGGCGUGCCUAAUACAUGCAAGUAGAACGCUGAAGCAGGAGCUUGCUCUUCUGGAUGAGUGGCGAACGGGUGAGUAACGCGUAGGUAACCUGCCUGUUAGCGGGGGAUAACUAUUGGAAACGAUAGCUAAUACCGCAUGACAGCUGUUGUUGCAUGAUAACUGUUUGAAAGUGGCAACUGCUCCACUACCAGAUGGACCUGCGUUGUAUUAGGUAGUUGGUGAGGUAAAGGCUCACCAAGGCGACGAUACAGAGCCGACCGGAGAGGGGGGUCGGCCAGCCUGGGACGGAGACCCGGCCCAGACGCCCACGGGAGGGAGCAGGAGGGAAACUUCGGGAAUGGACGGAAGUCUGACCGAGCAACGCCGAGGGAGGGAAGAAGGUUGUCGGAUCGUAAAGCUCUGUUGUAAGGGAAGAAAGAGUGUUAGAGUGGAAAGUUCACACUGUGACGGUAACUGACCAGAAAGCGACGGCUAACUACGUG